Molecule: non-coding RNA, 1911 nt
Organism: Odocoileus virginianus texanus
Lineage: Eukaryota; Metazoa; Chordata; Mammalia; Artiodactyla; Cervidae
Source: RefSeq, a predicted model, not a curated record
UUUCCCGACCAGGGAUAGAACCUGCACCCCCUGCCUUGGAAGCACAGAAUCUUAACCACUGCAUCACCAGCGAUGUCCCAGUUCUUCGAUCAAUGCAUGGAGAAAUGCAAACGCAAGCUCCACAGUCCAGGUAUCCGGGCAGGCUAUGGGCAGGGCUACUUUGUAGGGUCAAAGGGGAGAGGGCGGAGUUCUGCACAGCCGCGCUGCUCCCGGCGCCAGAGCAUACUCUGCCGCCGCCAUCUUGAGUUGAGUGUCGUGUGCAGCCCGUCUGCACACCGCCCUCCGAACUGAGGCGUCUGUGCAGCCAUUUUGCUCCAGGAACUCUGGCUCGAGGUCUGAAAGGUUUGAAACGUCAGCACGUGACUCUCUGAGUGAGUGAAACUAAGCACAGAGGAAACAGGGAAAAAAAAAAAGAUGGCGACUUACCAGACGGAGCUGUCGUCUACCUGUUCACACGCCGGUCUCCCACACUGCACUCUGCACUGCUGAACCCACGGAUGACAGGCGGUCCACGCGAAUGCAAACAUCACCUCUGAGCUAAAUGUAAAGAUACCCGAAGAGUCAGCAUGAGGGAGGACUUCCUGGUGGUAAGAAAAAAUCUCAACUCAGGGGACUCAUUUAGACAUCAGCAGCCGACGUGCCUCGGACGGAACCCUUCUUACGCAUCUAAACGUAAAAUAAAAUCAUGAGCUGCUGAAAUCACAGACUCUACAUUGGGUUAGUAACCAAAGGGAGACAAAGACCUUGAAGAGAUUGUGAAGUGACCGCUGCCUGUUUAUAAGCAUAUAACCUCGUUAAAAUGAAGUUCUGAGGCCAUUCCAGUUACCCUGACCUAAGGAAAAUCUUGCAAAAGGCUUUUCUUACACAGCACAAAAAAAACAUGUUAAUAUCUCUUCUUGAAAACAGAAAACAAAAGCCUGCAGACUGAUGAAGUGAAAUUAUCAAAGAUCACCAGGGUAAGUGAACUGCUCACCAACACAGUGUGAGAAAAUGCCCUGAUGGUCUGGUUCACUUUUUCACAGUCCUUGGACCAGAGAGGAAGCCGUGUGGUGUGGCCACCUCUGGCUUCUGAGACCAGUGUCCCUCAGAGGAGUUCUUCACGGGAAGUUAAUUAAAGAGCGGGAGGUGAAAGAAGAACGAGAGCGCACAGGGCCAACGCAGGGAGAAGAAACAGGAACACAAGGAUGCUUGCAAAGGACAGACAUUCCCGUCGGCCUACAGGCAGCUUGAUGAGGAAAUCAGGAAAAGGGUGGACGGAAAGGAACGCAUUUCUGAAGCUCAACCCCUCCCACCACCCUCCCCUGCAGGGCCAGGUAAGAACAAGCGUAAGGUUGCCCUAAGUAUUCCUUCAGUUGCUGGGCCUAAUCUCAGUGUUUCUGUGGGAUUACAGGCAUGGGCAUUCCUCUCAUGCCUGACCUCUCGAGAUGCUAUGCCUUCUCUCCAGGGCCAAAAUCCAUUUGAAAGAAAUCCAAUUCUUAAAAUAUUUGAGAAUUAAGAGAAUUACAACACAUCAAAUUCUCCCACCAGGUGUCAGGGAAAUGACCUCAAGGAAAGGGGAGAUGCCUCCGUGGUGCAGAGGACGUGGAGAUGUUAAGCGCUCUGGGUAGGCACUACAGGCAUGCUGCCGCCCAACUGAGGAGAUGCCAGCAAACCAGUCAGGACUCAGAGCAGCAGCGACAUGAUGCGGGAUAAAGCAUCCCCGGUGACCUCGAGCGAAAUAGCCUAUGUGGGAUUUAACACCAAGAUGACCAGCACUUAAUCCUGAAAUCUGACCUGAAGUAUUUCUGAGAUACUUCAACAAAGAAACUGCCAUGAACUCCCAACCCUGAACCAAGGACAGAUUUCUACCAACUUUAUGAGGGAAUUUGUCAGUUUAGGCCACAUGGGUACAAUCAUGAUGCUUUCUGAUAA